RNAcentral lists this unclassified non-coding RNA (1415 nucleotides) under uncultured Neocallimastigales. RNAcentral describes it as "partial contains small subunit ribosomal RNA, internal transcribed spacer 1, 5.8S ribosomal RNA, internal transcribed spacer 2, and large subunit ribosomal RNA". The stretch from base 658 to 1415 matches the Rfam family "Eukaryotic large subunit ribosomal RNA", at positions 1 to 617 of the family's 3401-position model. The record is from RNAcentral. Lineage: Eukaryota; Fungi; Neocallimastigomycota; Neocallimastigomycetes; Neocallimastigales.
UUUCCGUAGGUGAACCUGCGGAAGGAUCAUUAAAAAAAUUGGACUCCAUUGGUGAGUUCAUUAAUAAUCCUACCCUUUGUGAAUUUGUUUGUUUGAAUAAUUUUUUUUCCAAAAAAAAUUAUUGAAUGUCUUUCCCUGUUUUGGUGGAGCUUGUAAAGUGAAACCAGGCAGGGGAAUGGCAAACAAUAAUUAUUUUUGAAAAAGACCUUUUUUAAAAUUAAACUUUUUGUAUUCAUUUGUCUAAAAUUAUUUUUAUAAUAUAAAAACAACUUUUGACAAUGGAUCUCUUGGUUCUCGCAACGAUGAAGAACGCAGCAAAAUGCGAUAAGUAGUGUGAAUUGCAGAAUACGUGAAUCAUCGAAUCUUCGAACGCAUAUUGCACUUUUUUAGUUUACUAAAAAAGUAUGUCUGUUUGAGUAUCAGUAAAAUAUUCUCAUAAAAAAUUUAUUUUUUAUGGUUAUGAGUGUUUUACAACGAUAACAAGUUGUUUCACUUUAAAUUCUUUGUUAUCAAAAAAAUCAUUAAAAGCUAAUUUUAAAGAUUUUUUAAAAUUGGAUAAAAUUUUCCCGUAAAAAGGAAUAACCUAAACAAUUCUAAAAAAUUAAAAUUGGUUUGAUUUUUCUUGAUUUAAAAAGGAAAAAAAAGUAAAAAUUAACUUGAUCUCAAAUCAGAUAAGAGUACCCGCUGAACUUAAGCAUAUCAAUAAGCGGAGGAAAAGAAACUAACUAGGAUUCCCUCAGUAACGGCGAGUGAAGCGGGAAGAGCUCAAAUUUGAAAUCUUCAAGGUUCUACCUUGACGAAUUGUAGUUUAAAGAAGUGUUUUCUGUUGGAGUUUUGGUAAAAGUUCUUUGGAAAAGGACAUCAUAGAGGGUGAGAAUCCCGUAUUUGACCAUUAUCUCCAGCUUUGUGAUACACUUUCAAAGAGUCGGAUUGUUUGGGAAUGCAGUCCAAAAUGGGUGGUAAAUUUCAUCUAAAGCUAAAUACUGGCGAGAGACCGAUAGCGAACAAGUACCGUGAGGGAAAGAUGAAAAGAACUUUGAAAAGAGAGUUAAACAGUACGUGAAAUUGUCAAAAGGGAAGCGUUUGACACCAGUGUUGUUUUCUCGAAAAUCAAUUAAAAAAGGCCGGAUUUUGUGUUGUAUUGACUUUAUCAGCUUUCUGCACUUUUUUCUUGUCUUUUUUAAUGCACUUUUCGUUUAACAAGUCAACAUCAAUUUCUUUUGUUGUAAAAGGGUCAUUGGAAGGUGGCUUUCUUUUCGGAGAAAGUGUUUAUAGCCUUUGGCCUCUGCAAUCGGAGAGAUUGAGGUUUGCAGCGUAGAUCCUUCGGGGUUAGAUACAUUUGUGCUAAGUUAUAGCCUUUCAUAGACAACUUGUUGACUAUGAUCAGUCAUGUAGCUUACUCGCUUAUGCUAUUU